CAGCCGCCGCGGUAAUACGUAGGUGGCAAGCGUUGUCCGGAAUUAUUGGGCGUAAAGGGCUCGCAGGCGGUUUCUUAAGUCUGAUGUGAAAGCCCCCGGCUCAACCGGGGAGGGUCAUUGGAAACUGGGAAACUUGAGUGCAGAAGAGGAGAGUGGAAUUCCACGUGUAGCGGUGAAAUGCGUUGAGAUGUGGAGGAACACCAGUGGCGAAGGCGACUCUCUGGUCUGUAACUGACGCUGAGGAGCGAAAGCGUGGGGAGCGAACAGGAUUAGAUACCCCGGUAGUCCCUGUCUCUUAUAA
Molecule: ribosomal RNA, 301 nt
Filed under: uncultured bacterium
Lineage: Bacteria
Description: partial 16S ribosomal RNA
Rfam family: Bacterial small subunit ribosomal RNA
Source: RNAcentral